UGAUUUGUUGGACGCUAGCGGCGGAUGGGUGAGUAACACGUGGGCAAUCUGCCCUAAAGACUGGGAUACCACUUGGAAACAGGUGCUAAUACCGGAUAACAACAUGAAUCGCAUGAUUCAAGUUUGAAAGGCGGCGUAAGCUGUCACUUUAGGAUGAGCCCGCGGCGCAUUAGCUAGUUGGUGGGGUAAAGGCCUACCAAGGCAAUGAUGCGUAGCCGAGUUGAGAGACUGAUCGGCCACAUUGGGACUGAGACACGGCCCAAACUCCUACGGGAGGCAGCAGUAGGGAAUCUUCCACAAUGGACGCAAGUCUGAUGGAGCAACGCCGCGUGAGUGAAGAAGGUUUUCGGAUCGUAAAGCUCUGUUGUUGGUGAAGAAGGAUAGAGGCAGUAACUGGUCUUUAUUUGACGGUAAUCAACCAGAAAGUCACGGCUAACUACGUGCCAGCAGCCGCGGUAAUACGUAGGUGGCAAGCGUUGUCCGGAUUUAUUGGGCGUAAAGCGAGCGCAGGCGGAAUGAUAAGUCUGAUGUGAAAGCCCACGG
RNAcentral lists this ribosomal RNA (543 nucleotides) under Lactobacillus delbrueckii subsp. bulgaricus. Its description in RNAcentral is "bacterial SSU rRNA". It matches the Rfam family "Bacterial small subunit ribosomal RNA", at positions 76 to 607 of the family's 1533-position model. Lineage: Bacteria; Bacillati; Bacillota; Bacilli; Lactobacillales; Lactobacillaceae. The record is from RNAcentral.